Molecule: unclassified non-coding RNA, 371 nt
Filed under: uncultured bacterium
Lineage: Bacteria
Description: contains 16S-23S intergenic spacer region
Source: RNAcentral
UCCGGUUUGUCACCGGCAGUCUCAUUAGAGUGCCCUUUCGUAGCAACUAAUGACAAGGGUUGCGCUCGUUGCGGGACUUAACCCAACAUCUCACGACACGAGCUGACGACAGCCAUGCACCACCUGUGCACGAGCCCCGAAGGGCUGCCGUGUUUCCACGACAUUCCCGUGCAUGUCAAGCCUUGGUAAGGUUCUUCGCGUCGCGUCGAAUUAAACAACAUGCUCCGCUGCUUGUGCGGGCCCCCGUCAAUUCCUUUGAGUUUCAGCCUUGCGGCCGUACUCCCCAGGCGGAGUGCUUAAUGGGUUACCUUCGGCACUGGAGAGGUCGAUGCCUCCAACACCUAGUGAGCACCGUUUACGGCUAGGACUAC